CAUACAUGUGCCUCUAUACAGCGACGAAAUUACGGUCAACUACUAGAGACAAGAUUCCUCUCUUCAUCAGUUAUAUUCUGGUUGGUUUAGGGUAAACAUAUCAGGUUCUAGCUCCGUCAAUAGUUAUACAUUUUAAUCAUGGAGAAGAGAACAUCUCAGCAAGAUGGAGACUGGAGAAAUCCUGAAGAACCAAGGAACCUGGAUCAAAAUCAUUCAAAUUGGACUGAUAGAGUUCCAGUAGAUUCGUCACCAGGACGACUGGUAAACAGUAGGUCGUCAUCUCAAGAUUGGAGACGAAUUAGCCAAAGCUCGAUUGAAGAACCAUCAUUUCAGGUUCUAGAAAGAAGAAGAAACCCUUCCUCACCAAUUACCAGAACCACCAUGAUACAUCCACCAAGACAAAUCCGUCCGCCAAGUUUGUCUCCGCCUAGUUCUGGUGAGGAUUCAGAUUUAAGAUUUAGUUUUGAUCAUUCCUCUCUCCUACUCCCAGACCUACCCGGAGGACGAGGUCGUCUACUCUCAAUAUCGGAGGAGGUUGCAACCUCUACACCGAGACUAUGCACAGAUGUUCUCCCACCUCUUAACACACUGACACCCUCAACCUCGCCUGUGAUAGAUGAAGGGGUGAGUAGGGAGGAUGGCACCAGGACAGGUAGUCCGGAGAGUAGUUUAGAGCUCCGGGGUUCAGAGGAUUCCAAGGAUUCUAAUCCAAGGUUUAAAACUGAGAUUUGUCGGAACUUCAAGGAGAAGGGAAGUUGUCUCUACGGACAUGAAUGCCAGUUUGCUCAUGGAUACGAUGAGAUGCGAGAUGCUGGUAAACAGAACAAAUAUAAAACUAAACUGUGCCAAAAAUACUGGAUAGCUGGCUACUGUGCCUACGGUCCACGCUGUAACUUCCUUCAUAACGAGGAAGGAGAAACUCAGGUUAAACAAAUAAACAGUAUUGAGGACAAUAUUGGAGAAUCAUUCGAGCUUCCCUCCCCAUCCCUCUCAUCCUCGACAGCGAGGGGGAUGGUUCGAAUCCCUCCUCUCUCCUCCCUCCUGUGGCCUCAGUACGGUUCAGGAAGGUUAGCUGCGUUCCCUCAUAAUGAUGGGCUAGCAUGGGUAGACACCAGGACUAAUACAAUUGUUUGAUUUACAAAACCAAAAUCAUUGUCGAAUAUAAAACUAAAUAACGUAACAAUUAUUAAAGAACUGUUCUGUAAACGAUACUGUAUUAUUGACGAAAGUUUGUUUGAUAUUUUAAUUUUUUUUCUCCAAUUUCUAUAAUCUGCUAAAGAAAAAACUCAACUCCUUUAUACAUGUUUGAUCGCGGACUUUAUUGUACAUAUAAUGUAAGAAAAAUCUAUCAAUCCUAUAAUGUAAAAAUGUAUUGCUGGUCCAAAUCAUGUUUUAAAAAAGCUUGUUAUAUU
RNA transcript from Eurytemora carolleeae, 1412 nucleotides. RefSeq lists it as uncharacterized. The transcript has 3 exons. The record is from RefSeq and is a predicted model, not a curated record. Lineage: Eukaryota; Metazoa; Arthropoda; Copepoda; Calanoida; Temoridae.